CACAAACACGUACCGUACCAUUCACACUCACACGCUCAUCAAUCUCAAAAUGGCUUUUUCUUCAUCAAUCUAAAAUCUCACAAACUCCAUUGAUCUCAAACCUCACAAACUUAAGCUGUAUCGAUUCCCUCACAAACCUAGAAACUCCAUUGAUCAAUCUCACCUCACAAACCUCAUCAAGCUCUGAAUCGAUUCCCUACUGUAUCGAUUUUCAAAUCGAUUUUGUUGUUCGUAUUUUGUUCAAAUUGAUUUAGGGAUCUUCAAAUCGAUUUUGCUCUUAAUCGUUCUCAAGCUCACAAUCGAUUCUGCGUGCAAUUUGGACGUGAUAUUGAAAAGCUAUAUAUUCAAGCUUAAGCUGAAGCGCGCGUGCAUUCUGCCGUCAAAACAAACACAACAUCAAUCUGUAUCGAUUUUGUUCAAACUGUAUCAAUCUCAAUCGUCGCCUUCAUCGACCGUCGGACCGCCGAUCUUCGAACUCGCUCUGGAUCAUUUUCAAUCGCUGUUGCUAAGAAGAUUUGUAUAGAAGUCAAGUCUUCGAAAGAUUUUUUGGAACAGCUCUGGUUGUUGUUCUGUGUCUGUCAUAGUCUACGAGGAUCACGGCAAACCAGCUUUGUUAGAUUUAGCACUCAACCGUGCAUUGAUGGAGAAGAGGAAGAUGAUCUGGUUUUGGCGGAACAUGAUGUGAAGAAAAGUAUAUGAUUGUUCUUGAUAGGGUAGAACCAUAUAAAAACUGUGUCUGUCAGUUUCUGCAUCUUAUAAGUAGUAAAACUCAUUUUGUGUAAUUUGGUGUUGUCUUUAGUUAUAUGAUUUGUCCACAUUGGUGAAUAAUACCUUGAGAAUAUAUUCUGGUGUUGUUUUUAGUUUA
Long non-coding RNA from Medicago truncatula (barrel medic), 865 nucleotides. RefSeq lists it as uncharacterized. NCBI's taxonomy places the organism in Eukaryota, Viridiplantae, Streptophyta, Magnoliopsida, Fabales, Fabaceae. The transcript is spliced from 3 exons. The record is from RefSeq and is a predicted model, not a curated record.